CCACCGGCGGACGGCUCAGUAACACGUCGGUAACCUACCCUCGGGAGGGGGAUAACCCCGGGAAACUGGGGCUAAUUCCCUAUAGGCCUGAGGUACUGGAAGGUCCUCAGGCCGAAAGGGACUUAUGUCCGCCCGAGGAUGGGCCGGCGGCCGAUUAGGUAGUUGGUGGGGUAAUGGCCCACCAAGCCGAAGAUCGGUACGGGCUGUGAGAGCAGGAGCCCGGAGAUGGACACUGAGACACGGGUCCAGGCCCUACGGGGCGCAGCAGGCGCGAAACCUCCGCAAUGCGGGAAACCGCGACGGGGGGACCCCGAGUGCCGUGGCAACGCCACGGCUUUUCCGGAGUGUAAAAAGCUCCGGGAAUAAGGGCUGGGCAAGGCCGGUGGCAGCCGCCGCGGUAAUACCGGCGGCCCGAGUGGUGGCCGCUAUUAUUGGGCCUAAAGCGUCCGUAGCCGGGCCCGUAAGUCCCUGGCGAAAUCCCACGGCUCAACCGUGGGGCUUGCUGGGGAUACUGCGGGUCUUGGGACCGGGAGAGGCGGGGGGUACCCCUGGGGUAGGGGUGAAAUCCUAUAAUCCCAGGGGGACCGCCAGUGGCGAAGG
This 600-nucleotide ribosomal RNA is filed under the name uncultured archaeon. Its description in RNAcentral is "bacterial SSU rRNA". It matches the Rfam family "Archaeal small subunit ribosomal RNA", at positions 75 to 672 of the family's 1478-position model. The record is from RNAcentral.